Molecule: long non-coding RNA, 328 nt
Organism: Arabidopsis thaliana (thale cress)
Lineage: Eukaryota; Viridiplantae; Streptophyta; Magnoliopsida; Brassicales; Brassicaceae
Product: other RNA
Exons: 1
Source: RefSeq
GUCUCAGUGGCUGCGAUGAAGAGUUGGUGACUGUGGCGGCAGGACUUCGGCGAGUUGAAGAUCAGAGUGGAAUGAAGCUUCACCGGAUGUUGUGGCACAAAAGUGGUCCAGAGACUCAAGAUAGACGAGUGACGGUACCAUUUGGGUUGAGGAACUGCAAAUUUGGAAGUGAGAGAUCUCGUUAGCACUAGGGCGGGGUUAAAAUCGUCGACAGUGGCCAUUGGAGUAGAUCGACGGAGUGAAGCAAUGUUGAAGGGUAUGGGUAAGUGAUCUCCGAGAAUCAAAGAUGGAUUUAAUGGAGGGUUGCUGUGGUGGUCGGGAAGAUGGA